AUACGGAGGGUGCAAGCGUUACUCGGAAUCACUGGGCGUAAAGCGCGCGCAGGCGGCUUGAUAAGUUGGAUGUGAAAGCCUACGGCUCAACCGUAGAACUGCAUCCAAAACUGUCAAGCUAGAGUCUGGGAGGGGAAGAUGGAAUUAGUUGUGUAGGGGUAAAAUCCGUAGAGAUAACUAGGAAUACCAAAAGCGAAGGCAAUCUUCUGGAACACUACUGACGCUGAGGCGCGAAGGCGUGGGGAGCAAACAGGAUUAGAAACCCCGGUAGUCC
This 274-nucleotide ribosomal RNA is filed under the name uncultured bacterium. RNAcentral describes it as "partial 16S ribosomal RNA". It matches the Rfam family "Bacterial small subunit ribosomal RNA", at positions 523 to 796 of the family's 1533-position model. The record is from RNAcentral.